RNAcentral lists this ribosomal RNA (424 nucleotides) under uncultured archaeon. RNAcentral's name for it is "partial 16S ribosomal RNA". It matches the Rfam family "Archaeal small subunit ribosomal RNA", at positions 323 to 746 of the family's 1478-position model. The record is from RNAcentral.
CUACGGGGUGCAGCAGUCGCGGAACUUUUACAAUGCACGCAAGUGUGAUAAAGCGAACCAAAGUGCUUAUCAUUUAGAUAAGCUUUUUCUCUACGUAAAAACUAGGGAGAAUAAGGACUGGGAAAGACUGGUGCUAGCCGCCGCGGUAAUACCAGCAGUUCAAGUUGCAUCCAUUUUUAUUGGGUCUAAAACAUCCGUAGCUUGGUGCUUAAGUCUCUUGUGAAAUCUCACGUCUCAAGCGUGGUGAAGUGCAGGAGAUACUGAGUACCUAGAGAUCGGUAGACGUAAGCAGUACGGGACGGGUAACGGUCAAAUGUGUUAAUCCGUCUUGGACUAACAAUCAGCGAAGGCAGCUUACGAGGACGAAUCUGACAGUGAGGGAUGAAGGCCAGGGGCGCAAAACGGAUUAGAUACCCCCGUAGUC